This 820-nucleotide ribosomal RNA is filed under the name Micrococcus sp. DEM47. Its description in RNAcentral is "bacterial SSU rRNA". It matches the Rfam family "Bacterial small subunit ribosomal RNA", at positions 98 to 929 of the family's 1533-position model. The record is from RNAcentral. Lineage: Bacteria; Bacillati; Actinomycetota; Actinomycetes; Micrococcales; Micrococcaceae.
GCGAACGGGUGAGUAACACGUGAGUAACCUGCCCUUAACUCUGGGAUAAGCCUGGGAAACUAGGUCUAAUACCGGAUAGGAGCGCCUACCGCAUGGUGGGUGUUGGAAAGAUUUAUCGGUUUUGGAUGGACUCGCGGCCUAUCAGCUUGUUGGUGAGGUAAUGGCUCACCAAGGCGACGACGGGUAGCCGGCCUGAGAGGGUGACCGGCCACACUGGGACUGAGACACGGCCCAGACUCCUACGGGAGGCAGCAGUGGGGAAUAUUGCACAAUGGGCGAAAGCCUGAUGCAGCGACGCCGCGUGAGGGAUGACGGCCUUCGGGUUGUAAACCUCUUUCAGUAGGGAAGAAGCGAAAGUGACGGUACCUGCAGAAGAAGCACCGGCUAACUACGUGCCAGCAGCCGCGGUAAUACGUAGGGUGCGAGCGUUAUCCGGAAUUAUUGGGCGUAAAGAGCUCGUAGGCGGUUUGUCGCGUCUGUCGUGAAAGUCCGGGGCUUAACCCCGGAUCUGCGGUGGGUACGGGCAGACUAGAGUGCAGUAGGGGAGACUGGAAUUCCUGGUGUAGCGGUGGAAUGCGCAGAUAUCAGGAGGAACACCGAUGGCGAAGGCAGGUCUCUGGGCUGUAACUGACGCUGAGGAGCGAAAGCAUGGGGAGCGAACAGGAUUAGAUACCCUGGUAGUCCAUGCCGUAAACGUUGGGCACUAGGUGUGGGGACCAUUCCACGGUUUCCGCGCCGCAGCUAACGCAUUAAGUGCCCCGCCUGGGGAGUACGGCCGCAAGGCUAAAAACUCAAAGGAAUUGACGGGGGCCCGCACAAG